Non-coding RNA from Penaeus vannamei (Pacific white shrimp), 583 nucleotides. Lineage: Eukaryota; Metazoa; Arthropoda; Malacostraca; Decapoda; Penaeidae. The record is from RefSeq and is a predicted model, not a curated record.
UUUCUGGAAGUCGUACGAGACAGUUACUUUGGGAAACGAGGCAUCAGCAAUCUUCAUUUGCAGGUGGUCAUAUCAUUAGUGCUAGAAUUGAUGUCCAGGAGUGCUAUGGAAUGGCAGGAGUGUGUGUGCACCUACCUCUUGUUCCCUCUCCUGGAGCUUCUCCUCAAUCUUGAAGAUCAAAUCCACCAAGAGAAUUGCAACAGACCUCCUCCAGAAGCUGUUACAGGGAGCUCAGGAACAAGACGUUCCCUCACGGAAUGAACUAGUAAAGAGCAUUCGACAGCUGGUUUUCCAACAUGUUUCCUGGUCAUCUAGUAGGCUCUUCCGCGUGUUGGGUGUAGUGGGAGUUCUACACAGACCGCUCUUAGUGGAUUCACUGCCUCACAUUGCAAGAGCAGUCACAGCCACAGAAGAGAAACGAGGAACUGGACUAGAUCACACACUUAGACAAGGCUAUCAGUCUUUACUCAGCAGCUUGGGAGUGAAUGAAGGAGAUAUACACAGCAGUUCAUAAUAUUGAAUGUUCUUAUGUUGCAAUAAUGAUUUUUUAAAAAUUUCUUGUAAGAGUACAAAUUUAAUUCCU